CACCGCGGUUAUACGAAUGGCUCAAAUUGAUAUUUCUCGGCGUAAAGCGUGGUUAGAGAAAAACUAAAUGACUAAAGAAGAACGGCUUCUCUGCUGUUGCAAGCAUUAGAUAGUCUGAAAAACAUUAACGAAAGUAACUUUAUAUUAUACUUGAACCCACGACCGUAAAGAAA
This 173-nucleotide ribosomal RNA is filed under the name Conger cinereus (longfin African conger). RNAcentral describes it as "partial small subunit ribosomal RNA". Lineage: Eukaryota; Metazoa; Chordata; Actinopteri; Anguilliformes; Congridae. The record is from RNAcentral.